AAGUCGUAACAAGGUCUCCGUAGGUGAACCUGCGGAGGGAUCAUUAACACUAUUUGGCUUUACACAUGUUUCACGACAUGAGUGAAGUUCAAAUUUUCACACAUUGUGCACUCGUUGGUUAUUUCCCUCAAAAAGAAGUAACUGACCUAACUAUAACUGUCUCGAGGGUUAGGAGGCCGACGCGACGUAGUGAACCAUAUUUCAUCUAUAACUACUGCUACUUUUGGGGUAGUUAUAGGUGGAAAAGGUAGCUCCGCCUCCAUAUCUCGACGCGGUUGAUUUUGGGAGAUGUGACACUCACACAUCUCGUCCCCCCUUUGCCAUCACCUUAAGCCAACGUACUGAUUUAGUUGAAGUAAAUUGAAAGAUUUAUCUUCUUCAUAUAUUCAAACUAAGCACAACUCUUAGCAACGGAUAUCUUGGUUCUC
This 428-nucleotide unclassified non-coding RNA is filed under the name fungal sp. RNAcentral describes it as "partial internal transcribed spacer region". The stretch from base 1 to 46 matches the Rfam family "Eukaryotic small subunit ribosomal RNA", at positions 1786 to 1831 of the family's 1831-position model. Lineage: Eukaryota; Fungi. The record is from RNAcentral.